GGAAAACUGCUCAGCAUUCACAACACUCUCACGUCUCUCGGCAGUUCUCAGAACUCCUCUCUCCCUUUGGAUUAGCACGCACAGAGAGAACCGCCCCCUGCAGUUGGCUACUCCAAGGCUUCCAUUCACCUCCUAUCUCUGGCUAGAUCCUCCCAUUCAAUUUCGCACUCUCUGCUUCCCUCUCGGACGUGAGAAUAAAUCCAGGCGGACAGCCCCAUCUUCCCUCUCUGGAUCGUGUGAGAAGCCCAGUUCGCCCUUAGCCGACCGACCUGAGACGCCGUCGCCUUCUAUUCA
Molecule: long non-coding RNA, 294 nt
Organism: Dendrobium catenatum
Lineage: Eukaryota; Viridiplantae; Streptophyta; Magnoliopsida; Asparagales; Orchidaceae
Exons: 2
Source: RefSeq, a predicted model, not a curated record